ACAGAGGGCCCGAGCGUUAGUCGGAAUUACUGGGCUUAAAGGGUGCGCAGGCGGAUCGGCAGGCAUCUUGUGAAAUCCCCCGGCUCAACCUGGGAACUGCCUUUGUGACUGCAAGGCUGGAGUGCGGCAGAGGGGGAUGGAAUUCCGCGUGUAGCAGUGAAAUGCGUAGAUAUGCGGAGGAACACCGAUGGCGAAGGCAAUCCCCUGGGCCUGCACUGACGCUCAUGCACGAAAGCGUGGGGAGCAAACAG
This 251-nucleotide ribosomal RNA is filed under the name uncultured prokaryote. RNAcentral describes it as "partial 16S ribosomal RNA". It matches the Rfam family "Bacterial small subunit ribosomal RNA", at positions 525 to 775 of the family's 1533-position model. The record is from RNAcentral.